AAACGAGGUUACAGAGUAGACUGGACAUAAGCAACACACUUCAGGUGUCACUGUCUCCCAUCGCCCCCAGAUGAGACUGUUUGGAUGCAGGAAAACAAGCUCAGGGCUCCCACUGAUUCUGUGUUACAGGGAGUUGUAUAAUUAUUCCAUUACAUAUUACAUUGCAGUAAUAAUAGAAAUAAAGUGUACAGUAAAUGUAAUGCACUUCAGUCAUCCUCAAACCAUCCCCCAUACCCCCUCCCCCAUCCGUGGAAAAAUUAUCUUCGAUGAAACCAGUCCAUGGUGCCAAAAAGGUUGGGGACUGCUGUGAUAAUGGAUCCACAAUAGCCCAUAAGUUUACAAAAAUAAGUUUCAUUUAUUCAUGUAUAUGUUUUGAUUAUGUAUAAAAUUAGCAGGAUGUAUAUUCAAGCUUAAUUUUGCAUUUAUUUCUCUAUUGUAGAUUUUGAGCAGGAUUAAAAAUACAUAACAAUAUUGUUUCACUUACUAUGGCUAUAUAACAAAUUACCCUAAAAUUUAGUGUCAUACAACAACAAUGUAGAUUGUUCACAGACUUUGUGGGUCUGGAAUUCUGACAGGGCAUAGUCUGGAUGUCGUGUUUCUGUUUCAGAGUGACUGGUGCUUCACCUGGAAGACUUGAGCAGCUAGGGACUGACACAGCUGGGGCUCCUUGGGCAUUUCUCUCUCUCUGUGACUAACCUCCAUGAGGUCUCUCCAGUAGGGUGUUUCAGGGUAUCUGGACCUUUUACAUAUUGGUUCAGGACUUCCAAGACACAUGUCCUGGGAGAGAGUGCCAGGUGGACUCUGUAUCGCCUUUUAUUAUCUUUGACAUUACAUAGCAUCACGUCCACCUGUGCUAUGGUUGAGCCAGUUAUUCAAUGUGAGGGAACUCUGACCCUUGCCCAGGUGCAAGGUGAGGGGACACAGAUCCCUACCUCUCAGUGGAAGAAUGUCAGGGUCACAUAAGAAGAACACAUGGGAUAGGGCCAUCAUUGGAAAAUAGUUUCCUACAAACAUAGAAAAAACAUGUUGAAUUUAAACUUAAGAAUUUUUUUGUAUCAACGUAUAUGUAGUUCAUUAACUAAAAAUCAAUUUUCUUUUCUUUUACAUGGAAAUGAUCUUCAUUGGUUAGCAUGUGCCUGAUACGUGGCUUGCAGAAAAUCUGUUCCAACCAUGAGCAAAGGGACAGUUGAAGGAAACCUUGUAUCCUUAACUAGAAUCCUGCCAUGUUCAAAGUAGAGGAUAUCUUUAAAUAUCCUCAAGAGAAGCAACCUCGUCAACAAAGAGGAAGAAAACAGUGGUGACAGCCCUGUACUGUGUCAGAAAUUUUCCAUUUUUCUUGGGUGCUUUUUAUAUAUGCGAAAGAGACUGAGAGAAAUUAGCAGUAUGAUACGGACAGUAGAAACUCCAACUGAAAAGAGAGGGAUUGUUUUGGAAGAUGAAAGUGAAUCACCUGCGAAAAGAAUUUGCCCGGAAAAUUGUUCUGCCUUAUUACGCCGUCUCCAAGAUGUAGCUAAUGACCGAGGUUCCCACUGAGAUGCCGGAGCCCCCACCUACAUGUAUGAGUUUCAGUAUCGCCCAAGCUUCUCAUCAGACAUGAAACCCAAGACGGUGAGAGGGGACCACGGGGAUGAGAUCUUCUCUGUCUUGGGAGCCCCAUUUUUAAAAGAGGGUGCUUCAGAUGAGGAGAUCAAACUUAGCAAGAUGGUGAUGAAAUUCUGGGCCAGCUUUGCUCGGAAUGGGAACCCCAAUGGGGAGGGACUGCCCCAUUGGCCAGCGUACGACCAGAAGGAAGGGUACCUGCAGAUUGAUGUCCCCACGCAGGCAGCCCAGAAGCUUGAAGGACAAGGAAGUGUCUUUCUGGACCAAGCUCCUGGGCACGGAGGCUGCCAAGAAGCCACCACAGCCAGAACGCACUGAGCUGUGAACGGGAGGCCCCGCCAGCCUCUGGAGCCUGGAGGAGCCAAGACAGGGCUCUUCUACAGCAGGUGAUCGUGGGUCAGACAGCAUCGCAUUGUGGGGCUGGAGAAUUGUCCGCUGGGGGUGGACAGAGGCCAGAAAGAUGCAAUUUUUGCGCUUGUGACCUCAAUCGUGGGAAUAAAUGUUCUUUUGGAGGCCAAA
Lemur catta (Ring-tailed lemur) is the source of this 2118-nucleotide RNA transcript. It is a transcript of the gene named liver carboxylesterase 1-like, with no coding region annotated. The record is from RefSeq and is a predicted model, not a curated record. NCBI's taxonomy places the organism in Eukaryota, Metazoa, Chordata, Mammalia, Primates, Lemuridae. The transcript is spliced from 7 exons.